This is a long non-coding RNA of Carassius gibelio (silver crucian carp), 2367 nucleotides long. RefSeq lists it as uncharacterized. The transcript has 2 exons. The record is from RefSeq and is a predicted model, not a curated record. Lineage: Eukaryota; Metazoa; Chordata; Actinopteri; Cypriniformes; Cyprinidae.
AAAAAAAAAAAAAAACUCUUAUAAAACGUUGUCAUUCCAAUUAUCACCUGUUCCCGUCGACACCACAAACCAUGCAGCUUCUUUUCUUUUAUAAAUCUUUUAAUGUAUUAUAAAAUAGGACGCUGCGCAACAGCUAAAGUUAUAGCGCUUCCUUUUUGAAUUUUGUACAGAGAGGUCAUGCAGCAAUGUAUCGCUCUUCUACUGGUCCACAUCCUCACGUUAUGCAAAUUCCCUGGUCAGAGUUCACCAAACUUGAACUUUGGAACGCAGCGAAAUGCAAAAUUUUUCGCAUAAGCUUGCGUUUCCGGUCCGACGCAUUCGCAUGCGUAUGAAUGGAAGUCAAUGGAGAGAAAAGUGCAGUGUGACCGCCCAUCACUCAUAACUAACUAACGGUUGGAGGGGCGCGUUAAGUAGGUUCUGCUCAUGCUGUCAAACUGACGUCAUCAGAAAAAUUAUUCGUUACAGGGUGGAAAUUUUCAGAAUUUGAUAAGAUUGCUAAGACAAACAAUGUUUAAUUGUUUACAUCAAGAUUAGCAAUGUGUGCUAGUAAGCUUAAGUCACUUCGAUUAUGCGUAUUUUAAACUUAACCUCCGAUACCUCAACUUAAUUAUAAAAAAAAAAAAAAAAAAAAAAAAAAAAAAAAACAAUUGGGGGAGUGACAGUUAAGGGGUUAAGCUACAAUCAAGGCUUGUUUAUAUUCGCGCAUCUACUGGUGUUGGUUCAUCACUCUUACUCGGCUGUUGCGGCUUUCACUUUACACUUUUAAACUUUCAGACAGCUGUGCCCUCAGCCAACCCGGAUUCUUCAGUCUGCCCUCCGUUAGCAGACAUAAUACUAAACGAAGUGCUUACGUCAGCUGGAAAUCACAUUUCUAAGGCGUUGCUCCCUCUACAAUCAAACCUACACGUUUGCAUGGUCCGCUUCUAAUGUUUUUCCUUCCAAUUUUUGCGUUCCUAUUCUAAUUUCGACCGUUGCUCCUUCCUUGUCUUAAAAAAAAAAAAAAAAAAAAAAAAAAAACGCAAUCUUAAUUUCUCUAUUCGCAGACUCCUUGCCAGCAUCUAAUCCACGCUAAAUUUUAUAAUCUAAUUUUGAAGCCUUUUUGGUUAUUCAGUUCUAUUACUACUUGAGGGGUUAGCUAAAUCUUCCAACAAAUUAAAGACAAAUGUCUGCAUAUUACCCUGCCCAUAUUGCAAAAUUAAUUACUUCCUUCUGCUACGGCCUUCCUUCGAAGUACCUCAAUAUUCUUCUGGAGGCAGUGUUUAUCUGCCUUCUACAGGUUAUGCUUCCAGGGGAAUUCACUUCAAACCAAUCCAUUUGAUCCUGCUCGCGGCAUUUCCUUCAGAUCUAUGAUUCGGACCAAAAAUUCUUCACACUCUCCUCAAGCACUCAAAAACCGAUGUGCAAGGUUCUGGUGUCACCUUAACAAUUCUAAAAUCAAUAAUCCUGUCCCUUCUCUGCAUGGUGAAAUUUCUUAAAAAUCCGACCUAGAAUUUCUAAAACGCACCAGCUCUAUUUUUCUAAUGGAGCCCCCUUUCCAAGGCUGUUUAGAACUCGCUUAACCACUGUUCUCAAAGCUGCAGUCUUUCUACUGGCCAUUCAUCAGAAUUGGGGCAGCUACUUCAGCAGCUGAAUGAGGGAUCUCUACAUCAGCUGUUAAGAUCAUGGGCAGAUGGUCUUCCUAAGCAUUUGAAUCAUACAUCAGACCUGAUUCAAAACCAUUAUUGAAGCUCAGCAAGCUCUCCUGUAACUAAUCAGGAACCUUAGGAUUCACAACUGGUGGGUAUACUUCAUCUACUUUUUUGGGGGGAAGGCUGGCCCCGUCUGGAGGUCUCAUAAUCCACCUAAUUUUGGGGGUCUGCUGCGCCCCUGCCUUCGUCUUCAGGCAGGAAAUGCAGAUUCGCUACCCUCGGAUUACGAACCAUGGACGGGGCCUUCCGCCAAAGAAAUUUAUAAUUGUGCUCGCUGAGCUGUCAAUAAAUGUAUGCUUCGUACAUUCCUCUAUCUCCCGAGUCUUUCUGGUAGAAAUGGAAGCUUUAGCCUAAGUUCUGCCAGGAAGACUCAAUCACUUCGUCAUUAAUUACCUUCAUCAUUAUCCAAUCACGUCUUUAUACUCCUGUAUAAAAGAUCGUACUUACACAUGUUUGAGUUCGCAGAUGCCAACGCGACAACAACCUCCACCCUCCCCACCACCACCAGGAUGGUCCUGUCCUUACCUUCCAGGGGGGUCUGCUGCGCCCCUGCCUUCGUCUUCAGGCAGGAAAUGCAGAUUCGCUACCCUCGGAUUACGAACCAUGGACGGGGCCUUCCGCCAAAGAAAUUUAUAAUUGUGCUCGCUGAGCUGUCAAUAAAUGUAUGCUUCGUACAUUC